Molecule: ribosomal RNA, 254 nt
Filed under: uncultured bacterium
Lineage: Bacteria
Description: partial 16S ribosomal RNA
Rfam family: Bacterial small subunit ribosomal RNA
Source: RNAcentral
GAUCAUGGCUCAGGACGAACGCUGGCGGCGUGCUUAACACAUGCAAGUCGAACGCUGAAGCUCAGCUUGCUGGGUGGAUGAGUGGCGAACGGGUGAGUAACACGUGAGUAACCUGCCCUCUUCUUUGGGAUAACGCCCGGAAACGGGUGCUAAUACUGGAUAUUCACUGAUCUUCGCAUGGGGGUUGGUGGAAAGGUUUUUCUGGUGGGGGAUGGGCGUCGCGGCCGUACUCAGCUUGUUUGGUUGGGGUUGGG